This 464-nucleotide ribosomal RNA is filed under the name uncultured bacterium. RNAcentral describes it as "partial 16S ribosomal RNA". It matches the Rfam family "Bacterial small subunit ribosomal RNA", at positions 339 to 795 of the family's 1533-position model. The record is from RNAcentral.
CUACGGGAGGCAGCAGUGGGGAAUAUUGGACAAUGGGGGAAACCCUGAUCCAGCAAUGCCGCGUGUGUGAAGAAGGCCUGCGGGUUGUAAAGCACUUUCGGUUGGGAGGACUGCUUCUAGCACUAAUAUUGUUGGAAGUUGACGUUACCUUCAGAAGAAGCACCUGCUAGCUCCGUGCCAGCAGCCGCGGUAAUACGGGGGUGCAAGCGUUAAUCGGAAUUACUGGGCGUAAAGCGCGCGUAGGCGGCUAGAUCAGUCGGGUGUGAAAGCCCAGGGCGUAACCUGGGAACUGCAUCCGAUACUGUCUAGCUUGAGUACAGGAGAGGGGAGUGGAAUUCCACAUGUAGCGGUGAAAUGCGUAGAUAUGUGGAGGAACACCAAUGGCGAAGGCAGCUCUCUGGCCUGAUACUGACGCUGAGGCGCGAAAGCGUGGGGAGCAAACAGGAUUAGAUACCCUCGUAGUC